RNAcentral lists this long non-coding RNA (1148 nucleotides) under Macaca fascicularis (crab-eating macaque). RNAcentral describes it as "lncRNA (ENSMFAG00000064471.1)". Lineage: Eukaryota; Metazoa; Chordata; Mammalia; Primates; Cercopithecidae. The record is from RNAcentral.
GGACCCCCUGUCAUCGAGUGGCCAGGCUUAGAUGAGGGGCAUGUGCGGGCAGGACAGAGCUUGGAGCUGCCAUGUGUGGCCCAAGGGGGGAAUCCCUUAGCCACACUGCAGUGGCUGAAGGUGAGGGCAGUCGCGGGCAUGGGAACUGUGGGGAGAGUGGAGGCCGGGAGCUGGUCCUGAGCUGGCCCAGGCCUGUCCCUGUCUCCAGAAUAGCCAGCCGGCGUCCACAGUGUGGGGCACAGAGCACACCCAGGCCGUGGCCCGCAGUGUGCUGGUGAUGACCGUGAGGCCAGAAGACCAUGGAGCGCGGCUCAGCUGCGAGGCCCAUAACAGCGUGUCUGCAGGGACCCAGGAGCGCAGCAUCAUGCUGCAGGUCACCUGUGAGUCCUGGUGCCAGCUGCCCACCUGUCGGUCUGUGCCUCAGAGAACCAUCUAUGUGUGCCCCCAAAUUAUGCCUACUGGAUGCCAAAGAUCUCAGCAUGUGUCUCCAGUCCUGUUGUUCUCUCUGGGCUGGUAUGUGAGAAAUUCAGCUCAGCUUAAUGUCUUCCCUCUCUGUCCCUGCAGUUCCCCCUAGUGCCAUUACUAUCCUGGGAUCUGCAUCCCAGGUUGAGAACAAGAACGUGACACUCUCCUGUGUCAGCAAGUCCAGUCGCCCACGGGUCCUGCUACGAUGGUGGCUGGGCUGGCGGCAACUACUGCCAUGGAGGAGAGCGAUCAUGGAUGUGAGGCGGGGGCCAGGCUCCUGGGUCUGAGCAUGGGGGGUGCAGGGCAUGACUCGUGGAUUGGGAAGGGGAUGGGUCCAGCAGCCUGGGGGCUUUCUCCUUGAGGACCAUGGGUCCAACAGAGGGGUGUUAGAGAUGGCUCAUGUGUCCCUGCUGGAGACUGAGAUGGACUCAGGCCUCUAACACAAUGGAUGGGGGUGCUGCAGUCCCCACAUCUGAAGCUCAUUCCCUGCCAGGGAUUACAUGGUGGUUACAUCUCCAUGUCCAACCUGACAUUCCUGGUGCGGCGGGAGGACAACAGUCUGACCCUCACAUGUGAGGCCUUCAGUGAAGCCUUCGCCAAGGAGACCUUCAAGAAGUUGCUCACCCUGAACGUAAAAUGUGAGUGUCUGCCCUUACCCAGCAAUGCCCCCAAGCCUCAGGACC